CCUACGGGAGGCAGCAGUGGGGAAUAUUGCACAAUGGGCGCAAGCCUGAUGCAGCGACGCCGCGUGAGGGAAGACGGCCUUCGGGUUGUAAACCUCUUUCGCCAGGGACGAAGCGCAAGUGACGGUACCUGGAGAAGAAGCACCGGCCAACUACGUGCCAGCAGCCGCGGUAAUACGUAGGGUGCGAGCGUUGUCCGGAAUUACUGGGCGUAAAGAGCUCGUAGGCGGUUUGUCGCGUCGUCUGUGAAAUUCUGCAGCUUAACUGUAGGCGUGCAGGCGAUACGGGCAGACUUGAGUACUACAGGGGAGACUGGAAUUCCUGGUGUAGCGGUGAAAUGCGCAGAUAUCAGGAGGAACACCGGUGGCGAAGGCGGGUCUCUGGGUAGUUACUGACGCUGAGGAGCGAAAGCGUGGGGAGCAAACAGGAUUAGAUACCCUGGUAGUCCACGCCGUAAACGGUGGGUACUAGGUGUGGGUUCCAUUUCACGGGAUCCGUGCCGUAGCUAACGCAUUAAGUACCCCGCCUGGGGAGUUCGGCCGCAAGGCUAAAACUCAAAUGAAUUGACGG
RNAcentral lists this ribosomal RNA (568 nucleotides) under uncultured bacterium. Its description in RNAcentral is "bacterial SSU rRNA". It matches the Rfam family "Bacterial small subunit ribosomal RNA", at positions 338 to 916 of the family's 1533-position model. The record is from RNAcentral.